GCUGGAUGUGGUGGGGCACACCUGUAGUCCCAGCUACUUGGGAGGCUGAGGUAGGAGGAUCGCUGGAGCCCAGGAGGUCAAGGCUGCAGUGAACUAUGAUCAUGCCACUGUGUUCCAGCCUGGGCAACAGAGCAAGACCCUAUCUCAA
RNAcentral lists this non-coding RNA (148 nucleotides) under Macaca fascicularis (crab-eating macaque). The record is from Rfam by way of RNAcentral. RNAcentral also lists the same sequence under 3 other names. Lineage: Eukaryota; Metazoa; Chordata; Mammalia; Primates; Cercopithecidae.